AGCGGGAUGGAGAAGUCUGGAAUCUCGUUAGCCUCAUAAGCUAAAGGUCGGUGGUUCAAAUCCACCUCCCGCUU
Molecule: transfer RNA, 74 nt
Filed under: Aeromonas phage phiAS5
Lineage: Duplodnaviria; Heunggongvirae; Uroviricota; Caudoviricetes; Pantevenvirales; Straboviridae
Rfam family: tRNA
About the family: Transfer RNA (tRNA) molecules are approximately 80 nucleotides in length. Their secondary structure includes four short double-helical elements and three loops (D, anti-codon, and T loops).
Source: Rfam by way of RNAcentral